GGGCAGGUGCCAGAGUGGUUAAAUGGGCCUGGCUGUAAACCAGGUGCGAAAGCUACGGCGGUUCGAAUCCGUCCCUGCCCACCG
RNAcentral lists this transfer RNA (84 nucleotides) under uncultured Thermomicrobiales bacterium. Its description in RNAcentral is "tRNA-Tyr-GTA". It matches the Rfam family "tRNA". Rfam says of the family: Transfer RNA (tRNA) molecules are approximately 80 nucleotides in length. Their secondary structure includes four short double-helical elements and three loops (D, anti-codon, and T loops). Further hydrogen bonds mediate the characteristic L-shaped molecular structure. tRNAs have two regions of fundamental functional importance: the anti-codon, which is responsible for specific mRNA codon recognition, and the 3' end, to which the tRNAs corresponding amino acid is attached (by aminoacyl-tRNA synthetases). tRNAs cope with the degeneracy of the genetic code in two manners: having more than one tRNA (with a specific anti-codon) for a particular amino acid; and 'wobble' base-pairing, i.e. permitting non-standard base-pairing at the 3rd anti-codon position. The record is from RNAcentral. Lineage: Bacteria; Pseudomonadati; Thermomicrobiota; Thermomicrobia; Thermomicrobiales.